GACGAACGCUGGCGGCGUGCUUAACACAUGCAAGUCGAGCGGUAAGGCCCUUUCGGGGGUACACGAGCGGCGAACGGGUGAGUAACACGUGGGUGACCUGCCCUCAGCUCUGGGAUAAGCCUGGGAAACCGGGUCUAAUACUGGAUAUGACUCCAUGACGCAUGUUGGUGGGGUGGAAAGCCUUGUGCGGCUGAGGAUGGGCCCGCGGCCUAUCAGCUUGUUGGGUGGGGUGAGGCCUACCAAGGCGACGACGGGUAGCCGGCCUGAGAGGGCGACCGGCCACACUGGGACUGAGACAC
RNAcentral lists this ribosomal RNA (299 nucleotides) under uncultured bacterium. Its description in RNAcentral is "partial 16S ribosomal RNA". It matches the Rfam family "Bacterial small subunit ribosomal RNA", at positions 28 to 327 of the family's 1533-position model. The record is from RNAcentral.